Oryza sativa Japonica Group (Japanese rice) is the source of this 380-nucleotide non-coding RNA. The record is from RefSeq and is a predicted model, not a curated record. NCBI's taxonomy places the organism in Eukaryota, Viridiplantae, Streptophyta, Magnoliopsida, Poales, Poaceae.
GAUCGCCGUGUAUACAUAUAAACCAUAUGGCCAUAUGACCAACAUUGUCUGAAUUCCAUGUUUGGUGAGGCCGAAGGAGAAAGUGAGGAAGGGUGCACCGUCACUGAUCAAACUCCUCCACCUUCCUUGUUCGUUUGGAAUGAUAAGGGUGAUAUAAUCUCUGGUAUGUGAAAGAAAUAGACAUGGGAGGUAUCAGCUGAGACUUUAUUCGGGGAUGGAUUAUUUAGGCGAUGGUUGUUAAAUGAAGAUCUGAGAGCCGGAGAGCCCUGCAAUCCUUGAUGACCAUGUUUUUAUCGAUACUAGUCAUAUGAGCCCCUGCGUCGAAACAGAAAUAAUGCAAAUUUUGCACAUAAUUAAGAGUAUUCCUUUAAUGUUCAACA